GUCACUGAGAAAACGGAAGGUUG
This 23-nucleotide non-coding RNA is filed under the name Cricetulus griseus (Chinese hamster). The record is from RNAcentral. Lineage: Eukaryota; Metazoa; Chordata; Mammalia; Rodentia; Cricetidae.